RNAcentral lists this ribosomal RNA (452 nucleotides) under uncultured bacterium. Its description in RNAcentral is "bacterial SSU rRNA". It matches the Rfam family "Bacterial small subunit ribosomal RNA", at positions 355 to 799 of the family's 1533-position model. The record is from RNAcentral.
UGGGGAAUUUUGGACAAUGGGGGAAACCCUGAUCCAGCCAUGCCGCGUGAGGGAUGAAGGCCUUCGGGUUGUAAACCUCUUUCAGACGGAACGAAACGGUUCAGGUUAAUAGUCUGAAUUAAUGACGGUACCGUAAGAAGAAGCACCGGCUAACUACGUGCCAGCAGCCGCGGUAAUACGUAGGGUGCGAGCGUUAAUCGGAAUUACUGGGCGUAAAGCGUGCGUAGGCGGCUUCGCAAGUCAGGUGUGAAAGCCCUGGGCUCAACCUAGGAAUUGCGCUUGAAACUACGGAGCUAGAGUUUGGCAGAGGGGGGUGGAAUUCCACGUGUAGCAGUGAAAUGCGUAGAUAUGUGGAGGAACACCGAUGGCGAAGGCAGCCCCCUGGGCCAAAACUGACGCUCAGGCACGAAAGCGUGGGGAGCAAACAGGAUUAGAUACCCCCGUAGUCCCUG